CCCAGCAAUGGGCAACCGGCGAACGGGUGCGUAACACGUGAGCAACCUACCCAGGUGUGGGGGAUAGCCGUCCCAACGGACGGGUAAUACCGCAUACGCUCUUCUUUAGGCAUUUAGAGAAGAGGAAACCUUCGGGGCACCAUGAGGGGCUCGCGGCCUAUCAGCUAGUUGGCGAGGUAACGGCUCACCAAGGCUACGACGGGUAGCUGGUCUGAGAGGAUGGCCAGCCACAUUGGGACUGAGAAACGGCCCAGACUCCUACGGGAGGCAGCAGUGGGGAAUCUUGCGCAAUGGCCUAACGGCUGACGCAGCGACGCCGCGUGAGGGAUGACGCUCUUCGGAGUGUAAACCUCUUUUGCCUGGAACGAACUAUUGGCUUUUGCCGAUUUGACGGUACCGGGUGAAUAAGCACCGGCUAACUCCGUGCCAGCAGCCGCGGUAAUACGGGGGGUGCGAGCGUUGUCCGGAAUCACUGGGCGUAAAGGGCGCGUAGGUGGCGUGAUAAGGGUGUGGUGAAAGCCCGGGGCUCAACCCCGGGUCGGCCAUGCCGACUGUCAGGCUGGAGUGCUGUAGGGGCAGGCGGAAUUCCGGGUGUAGCGGUGGAAUGCGUAGAGAUCCGGAGGAAGACCGGUGGCGAAGGCGGCCUGCUGGGCAGUUACUGACACUGAUGCGCGACAGCGUGGGGAGCAAACAGGAUUAGAUACCCUGGUAGUCCACGCCGUAAACGAUGGGUACUAGGUGCCUGGGGGAGCGACCCCCUGGGUGCCGGCGCUAACGCAGGAAGUACCCCGCCUGGGGAGUACGGCCGCAAGGCUG
Molecule: ribosomal RNA, 816 nt
Filed under: uncultured Gemmatimonadota bacterium
Lineage: Bacteria; Pseudomonadati; Gemmatimonadota
Description: bacterial SSU rRNA
Rfam family: Bacterial small subunit ribosomal RNA
Source: RNAcentral